This 500-nucleotide ribosomal RNA is filed under the name uncultured bacterium. RNAcentral's name for it is "partial 16S ribosomal RNA". It matches the Rfam family "Bacterial small subunit ribosomal RNA", at positions 30 to 523 of the family's 1533-position model. The record is from RNAcentral.
AUUGAACGCUGGCGGCAUGCCUUACACAUGCAAGUCGAACGGCAGCACGGGUGCUUGCACCUGGUGGCGAGUGGCGAACGGGUGAGUAAUACAUCGGAACGUACCUUAUCGUGGGGGAUAACGCAGCGAAAGUUGCGCUAAUACCGCAUACGCCCUGAGGGGAAAGCGGGGGACCGUAAGGCCUCGCGCGAUUAGAGCGGCCGAUGUCUGAUUAGCUUGUUGGUGAGGUAAAAGCUCACCAAGGCGAUGAUCAGUAGCUGGUCUGAGAGGACGGUCAGCCACACUGGGACUGAGACACGGCCCAGACUCCUACGGGAGGCAGCAGUGGGGAAUUUUGGACAAUGGGGGCAACCCUGAUCCAGCAAUGCCGCGUGAGUGAAGAAGGCCUUCGGGUUGUAAAGCUCUUUUGUCAGGGAAGAAACAGCAGCUCUAACACAGUCUGCGAAUGACGGUACCUGAAGAAUAAGCACCGGCUAACUACGUGCCAGCCGCCGCCGUAA